GACCUUUGGUAGCACAUAUAGUAAAACUCGAAUGAUACAGAGAAGAUUAGCAUGGUACCUGAUCAAAGAUGACACACACAUUUGUGAAGUAUAUCACAUUUUU
Small nuclear RNA from Protopterus annectens (West African lungfish), 103 nucleotides. NCBI's taxonomy places the organism in Eukaryota, Metazoa, Chordata, Ceratodontiformes, Protopteridae. The record is from RefSeq and is a predicted model, not a curated record.